UUUAAGAGGAAGUGUCCCAAUUAGCGUGAGCGAAUGAACAAACGCUUCGGAUUCCGUACUCUUAUAAAGUGUCUGAGCAGCUGUGAGGAAUGGUUGCUGCUUGAUUGUCUGUUUCAUCGGCAGAUUUCUUCUCUAAUCAGGCUGCGUUUAUCCUUCAUGUGCAAGUGUUGUGCAUUUAGUAAGGGGGUGAUCAGAUCUGCUCUUUGGCGGCUGGACUGUGGAUGUGCUGUUUGAGUGUGGUAUUGUUGUGCAGGCCUGGUUAAACGGAGAGGAACUGCAUUUGGUCACUGCUGUCCUUCUUUACCCUUUAUUUUUGGGUUUUGUGAUUUAAUGUUUGUUUGGUUUUCUUUAUUUAAGGCACCCAUCAUGUUGUAUGGAUGCUGUGUUUAGCUGAUUGUUAAAAAGACUAUAGGGGAUUGUUUGCAGAUAUUUUACUGUAUGAUAACCAACUGAUUUUGUGUAUCUGUUCCUUUCCAGUGGGUCAUCUGGGAGCACUGGUUGGAUUGUGGGUGUUGGUCCUUUGAUGGUGGAAUCUGUGCUACGGUUUACACUGCAUGCUGUGUGAAUUUUAUGAAUUUACGGUGUGUGGCACUUUGCAUGUGUGUGGGUGUGUGUGUGUGUUGUGUUUUCCUUUACAGGCACCAUUUUGGGUGAACCUUUUGGGGUUAAAGUGGGCCUGUGUAGUGGGUUCGCUCUGCGUUGUGUAUGUUUUUAAAUGAAAAGACUCUACACGUUGGUACAAUUGUCGUAUGAUUUACUUCCAGCUUCUGUAUUCUCCAAUCACUGUAUUGAAACAGACACCAUCAGAUAAUAAAUGGCGAAUCUCUGGUCUA
Molecule: long non-coding RNA, 833 nt
Organism: Silurus meridionalis
Lineage: Eukaryota; Metazoa; Chordata; Actinopteri; Siluriformes; Siluridae
Exons: 3
Source: RefSeq, a predicted model, not a curated record